GUCGUACGCUUCUUUUUCCCCGGAGCUUGCUCCACCGGAAAAAGAAGAGUGGCGAACGGGUGAGUAACACGUGGGUAACCUGCCCAUCAGAAGGGGAUAACACUUGGAAACAGGUGCUAAUACCGUAUAACAAUCGAAACCGCAUGGUUUUGAUUUGAAAGGCGCUUUCGGGUGUCGCUGAUGGAUGGACCCGCGGUGCAUUAGCUAGUUGGUGAGGUAACGGCUCACCAAGGCCACGAUGCAUAGCCGACCUGAGAGGGUGAUCGGCCACAUUGGGACUGAGACACGGCCCAAACUCCUACGGGAGGCAGCAGUAGGGAAUCUUCGGCAAUGGACGAAAGUCUGACCGAGCAACGCCGCGUGAGUGAAGAAGGUUUUCGGAUCGUAAAACUCUGUUGUUAGAGAAGAACAAGGAUGAGAGUAACUGUUCAUCCCUUGACGGUAUCUAACCAGAAAGCCACGGCUAACUACGUGCCAGCAGCCGCGGUAAUACGUAGGUGGCAAGCGUUGUCCGGAUUUAUUGGGCGUAAAGCGAGCGCAGGCGGUUUCUUAAGUCUGAUGUGAAAGCCCCCGGCUCAACCGGGGAGGGUCAUUGGAAACUGGGAGACUUGAGUGCAGAAGAGGAGAGUGGAAUUCCAUGUGUAGCGGUGAAAUGCGUAGAUAUAUGGAGGAACACCAGUGGCGAAGGCGGCUCUCUGGUCUGUAACUGACGCUGAGGCUCGAAAGCGUGGGGAGCAAACAGGAUUAGAUACCCUGGUAGUCCACGCCGUAAACGAUGAGUGCUAAGUGUUGGAGGGUUUCCGCCCUUCAGUGCUGCAGCUAACGCAUUAAGCACUCCGCCUGGGGAGUACGACCGCAAGGUUGAAACUCAAAGGAAUUGACGGGGGCCCGCACAAGCGGUGGAGCAUGUGGUUUAAUUCGAAGCAACGCGAAGAACCUUACCAGGUCUUGACAUCCUUUGACCACUCUAGAGAUAGAGCUUCCCCUUCGGGGGCAAAGUGACAGGUGGUGCAUGGUUGUCGUCAGCUCGUGUCGUGAGAUGUUGGGUUAAGUCCCGCAACGAGCGCAACCCUUAUUGUUAGUUGCCAUCAUUCAGUUGGGCACUCUAGCAAGACUGCCGGUGACAAACCGGAGGAAGGUGGGGAUGACGUCAAAUCAUCAUGCCCCUUAUGACCUGGGCUACACACGUGCUACAAUGGGAAGUACAACGAGUCGCGAAGUCGCGAGGCUAAGCUAAUCUCUUAAAGCUUCUCUCAGUUCGGAUUGUAGGCUGCAACUCGCCUACAUGAAGCCGGAAUCGCUAGUAAUCGCGGAUCAGCACGCCGCGGUGAAUACGUUCCCGGGCCUUGUACACACCGCCCGUCACACCACGAGAGUUUGUAACACCCGAAGUCGGUGAGGUAACCUUUGGAGCCA
Molecule: ribosomal RNA, 1416 nt
Filed under: Enterococcus sp.
Lineage: Bacteria; Bacillati; Bacillota; Bacilli; Lactobacillales; Enterococcaceae
Description: bacterial SSU rRNA
Rfam family: Bacterial small subunit ribosomal RNA
Source: RNAcentral